Long non-coding RNA from Ornithorhynchus anatinus (platypus), 2343 nucleotides. RefSeq lists it as uncharacterized. The record is from RefSeq and is a predicted model, not a curated record. The transcript is spliced from 5 exons. NCBI's taxonomy places the organism in Eukaryota, Metazoa, Chordata, Mammalia, Monotremata, Ornithorhynchidae.
CUGUGAGUGCUGGUGGACUGUGGAUGACUAAGUUUGGCAGUGCUACCUGCAGGCUGUUUUUCCUUUUAUGGAGGAUUUGCAAGAGCACAGCGGAGAGAGGCGCUCUGAGGAGAAUUGAAACAAUCUACCCUGACUUGAUGUUUCAGGAACUGUGUUCCAAGGGUGGAGUCGGGGAUGGACCGAGAGGAUGGACAAGAACGAGGCAGAGGCAGAGAGGACGAACAAUGAGGGGGAGGUUUCGGGUGGAGAGGGGAGAGAGUACGCAGUCUCGCUGGGAGUGGCCUGGUGAAUGAGAGUGAAUGAUGAAGUCUGAGUAAGUGUGUGUGUCUGUACGAGAGUGUCCCCGUAUGAGAGAGUGCAUGUGUUCACCGGCCCGGAGCGUGAGGAUAACUUGUAUCUUCUUUUUCUGUUCUGGGUGUCCCUGUCUCUGUGGGAGUUGGACGGCCCUGGCACAAACCGUUCGCUUUCUGGUCUGGGUGCUCCAUGCCCCCACAUUCCUGUGUGGGUACUUAGUUUCCAUUUGUGUAUCUCUCUUCGAAUGCCUCAGCUGAAAGGACACGUUUCACAUGGCCUUUCGUGAAGAUUGUCUUUCUCCUUUUGGGGACACAGGAUUGAGGCAUCUGAAUAUGGACUUCCGCGGCAAGCGUCCAAGCAAGUCCUUUUAUUUGCUGUUCAGUACCGGUUGGCUGCUCUCCCUUCUCCUCUAAUCCCCGCCCCCCCAACCCCAGCUCAGCAACUGUCAACUGCACUUCCCUCCUCUCUAGCCCACCUCAGCUCCUGGCUGGCUUCCUCAUUUUGCUUGGACCCGUGAAGGGGCUCCCCAUUUCCAAGGGAGGAAGUUUGGACCAGCGAAUGGGAGUCAUAGGGGAUUUAUUGAGCGUUUGCUGUGCGCGAAGCACUGUGCUAAGUACGAUAGAGUGAACAGACAUAAUCCCCACCCUCAAGGAGUUUACUCCCCACCAACCCGGCCCAAACCUACACACCUAAGCGGCCAAGGUACCCCUUGUUUUACUGUCCAUCUUCCUCCUGGUUCCCAGCGGCUGUGACCACACUGCCCGACCCUCAAGAGAAAAAACAUCUGACUCCCUUCCAAGGGGCAGUGCCCAACCGGCAGUUAGGGUCCAUCCAUCCAGAUGCACGUCCACUUCUCCAGUCUCUCCUGUUCAAGAGACCCAGCUGUUUUUAGAUUCAGGUACAAGUGCUUUCGGACCAUCUAUCCGGCCUCCGAUGUUGGGACUACUGAACAGCACACAGCCCUUCUGCCCUCCGAUUCCCCAACAAGGAGUGAACAGACUCCCAGUCCAGGAACAGAGACCAGGAUUCCAGUUCUGGUUCUGCCACUGAUUAGCCGUGUGAUCUUGGCAGUGACAUCAUCACCACACUUCAAGGAGAGGAAUCAUGGAGUUUCUGGACCAACAAGGACAGGAGCAUAAUGUUGAUUUCUGACCUCCGCUGGCCUUUACUAAUUAUUCUCUUGAAUCCUCCCAACUCCAAUGAUCCGAAUGAGUCUGCAGUCACUGUGCCAGACUCGCGGCAUUUCCCAGGAUCGGCCUCGGGGAGGAACUCUGGGUAGCUUUGGUCUUGAGACGCUUCUGUUCCUCACAAAAGACCCCAGGAAGGACCUCUGCUUUUGUAGUUUGAAUUGAAGGGUUCCACGAGUGUCUUUUUGGAGGUUUUGUUUUACUUUUCUCUAGGUUUUUGUAAGAGAGCAGGAACGAUCGCCCCACACCCACCUAACCUUACUCCACAGUCGACGAUGGUUUAGGAAAAAUGGAGGAGGACCUAGCGAUGGCAGCCGCUGUUGAGAUCCUACAGAGAUAGUCUGUGCCGUGGCCACCAGCGUGGACCCAUUAUUCUUGCCAGUCAUUUUGCAGCGUAUGUUUCUGGGCAUGGAGAACCGGGCAAGAGGGUAUGAAUGGUUCAGGGCUAAUCAACACUGCUACAGCAGAGCCAAACCAAGCAAUAAUCUGCUGGUAAAAUGGAGUUAUCCCCAUCCCCCAAACCUAAAAUACCGUGCUGUGAAAUCUAGAUAGCUCCAUUCUGGUCUCUUGAUGAAGAUCAGGCAGCAGUGCUACCUGACAACACCCCUGGGGUCUGAUAUAACCUAAUUAACAUAAGGUUUGGUACAGAGUAGGUACUUAACAACAAAUAUCACGAGUAUAAUUAUUAUUAGGGAUGCUAGAGGCCAGGGAUCAGAGAGUUGCCCUAAAAUAUUUUCAUAGGUAUAGUGUUCCAAAAAUUGUCCCUGACACUCACUCAACAGGGAUGCUACCCCGCCAUCUCAACAUCAUCAUCGUCAAAUUUACAGGGUGGUCGUCCCCUCUGGACCGUAAACGCCUUGUG